Molecule: ribosomal RNA, 76 nt
Filed under: Streptomyces sp. XY152
Lineage: Bacteria; Bacillati; Actinomycetota; Actinomycetes; Kitasatosporales; Streptomycetaceae
Description: partial 16S ribosomal RNA
Rfam family: Bacterial small subunit ribosomal RNA (bases 1-68)
Source: RNAcentral
GACUGGCGAUUGGGACGAAGUCGUAACAAGGUAGCCGUACCGGAAGGUGCGGCUGGAUCACCUCCUUUCUAAGGAG